AUAGGGUGCAUAGCCUCUCACUAGUUUUGGACGCACUCUGUUAAUAUCCAUAUAUGUACAUAUGUCCGAAAAACAAUGAAAGACGUAUAUUGUGCUAAUACAAUUUAUAAUAUUUGUCUUUAUUCGAUUUUAUAUGGUUUAGCUAAUUUUAUAUUUUAAAUGUUAGUUUUAUACAAAGGUUGUCGAUUUAAUCAACUGCUUGCUGCGGAUGGAUGGUGAAAAACGAAUGAAGAUACGUGAAUCGGAACGCAGGUCGAAAAAGAAGAAAUCGCGGGUAUCAUUGACGAUCCUUUCUAUUCCCUUUUGUGUGGUGUAUGGUGUUGUUAUGUGUGUGGGUGUGUUGAUGUGACAGUUUUCUUCUGUUCUGUGGUGAGUGUGGUGAAUGUUAUGUAUCAGUGGUGUGGAUUUGGAUAAAUGUUGUGUGCCAGUGUGGUAUGUUGAUGCUUAGUGAGUGUGGAUGAAUGUUACAGUUGGGGGUUGAGCCAGACUCAUUUAAACAUCCCGGCCCCCCUAGGCGAAUGUUUUAGCCUAGCAGUCGCUGUAGUUGUUAUAGCGUACCUACAAGGCUACUAAGGCUUGUGUUGCGCCAAGACUGUGAUCCGAAUUGGUCGUCAAGUUGAUCGACAAUAUAUGGUAAUUUUUGUGUUAGUUUGAAUGGAUUAUUCGUUACGGACUUAUUCGACUGUCCUUGUGUAUGCACUAAUGUAUGUUGUUGCGCGUAUGAGAGCUCGUGAUAGAGAUCAAUGGCUUUUUUACAUUGCAUUAUUACUUUUGGAUUACUUAUUAUGGACUUAUUCGACUGUCCUUGUGUAUGCACUAAUGUAUGUUGUUGCGCGUAUGAGAGCUCGUGAUAGAGAUCAAUGGCUUUUUUACAUAUGUGUGCAUGUAUGUGCAUAUAUUUAAGAAAAUAUAAUAUGGUUUGUGCAAUCCGGCUUGUUUUUCAUUAAACAUGUUUAAAAAUGUUUGUAGGGUGUUGAGGAAUAGACAGAUUAUAUGUAGUAUAAAUGUUAGUAUGUUUGCGCGAUAAGAAGAGCGUGAAAACGGAAUAGGUAAUAUGCGGUUAUUUUAUCCACUGCACCUUUUCAUUACUUAUUGGUUACUAUGCAGCUUACUGCUUUCAGAAGCUGAAGGCGUAUCGCCGGAACAUAUUGCAAGUGUCCAUGUGCAUAUUUAUAUACUUGAAUAUGUUUUUUAUAUGUGUUAUGUAUAUUUAUAUACAAAUGUAAGCGCAUUGGCAAUUUGUGGUGUAUAUAUGUAUAUGUUAUUUUAUCUAAGCCGAAUUUUUGCAUAUAAAUAAAUAAAAUCUGGAAUCGAUACAACUCAAUUUAUACCGCUUAAAGAGGUAUGGGAAUGUGUAUAGAUUGUGAGUUUAUAUUGCGUUUUCCGAUCCAAUUUAUUUGCUCCUAUUCUACAGGCUGCCAGCUGUUCUGUUGCUCGCUGUGCUUUGUUUCUGUUAUAAUGCAGCUGGAGGUGUGUAUAUUGUUGUUGUUAUUUUCGAGCCCGUUUUUGUUACAUUCACAUUAUGUUGAUUAUGUUAUGUUAAUGUUUAGUGCUUAGUUUACCGCCCGUUUGUUUUUGUAUUUAUGUUUGUUUUUUAUUUAUUUUUCUUCUGGACGAGUGAUACUUAUAUUGCAUACUUGUUUUGCACUGUUUCUUUCUUUUUGUUAUAAGUUUGUAUACUUAUAUGAUUGUGUAUAUUUAUACUCUCGCAACAAAAGUUGUUGUUUUAUUUAAAUAUUUUGCGCAGUUGUAUAUUUUAUUAUUGUGUUAGUCACUGCACAUUUAUUUUAUAAGAAUAUAUAUUCCGUUCACUGCAAUUAUUUUUUACUUUUCUUUUUGUAUUUCCGAAUUUUUGUCACCGCAUUUUAUGAUUUUAAUGUGUAUGUAUUUUAUUUGAUUUUUUGGUAGUAUCACCAAUAGUGCCUUUCAGUAAGGCUCGAAGGACCAUGAAUAAUAGGGUGCAUAGCCUCUCACUAGUUUUGGACGCACUCUGUUAAUAUCCAUAUAUGUACAUAUGUCCGAAAAACAAUGAAAGACGUAUAUUGUGCUAAUACAAUUUAUAAUAUUUGUCUUUAUUCGAUUUUAUAUGGUUUAGCUAAUUUUAUAUUUUAAAUGUUAGUUUUAUACAAAGGUUGUCGAUUUAAUCAACUGCUUGCUGCGGAUGGAUGGUGAAAAA
Zeugodacus cucurbitae (melon fly) is the source of this 2176-nucleotide long non-coding RNA. RefSeq lists it as uncharacterized. NCBI's taxonomy places the organism in Eukaryota, Metazoa, Arthropoda, Insecta, Diptera, Tephritidae. The transcript is spliced from 2 exons. The record is from RefSeq and is a predicted model, not a curated record.